RNAcentral lists this long non-coding RNA (1126 nucleotides) under Coturnix japonica (Japanese quail). Its description in RNAcentral is "lncRNA (ENSCJPG00005017528.1)". The record is from RNAcentral. Lineage: Eukaryota; Metazoa; Chordata; Aves; Galliformes; Phasianidae.
GUAUGGGAUUACACAACAAACCUCAACUUUGCUAAUAACAGUUAUUAUAUACUUAGGAAUAAACUGCUUUAAUUUCCUAGAUAUUGGGUGUUUCCCACAUAUUCAACAAUUACUAAAAUUUCUUGCUUUGUAUGAGGGUUUUCUGUGCUUCUAUAGACUUCACCUUCUUGGCUUCCAAAUUCUUUUCUCACACCCUAAAACAUGUACUCAGUUCGUGUAUCAGUAUUUUUUGCCUGUGGAAGACUGUCUGAAUGCAAAUUCUGUUAAAUUUACCUGUAUUAAAUAGUUUAUCAUCGCAGCAGUAGCUUCUGUUUUAUUCAUAUUGUGAAAAAGGUCCUUGGCAAUCUGAUGCUCGGAUAAAGCUCUGUUGAUUGCUGCUUCUGCAAACAUUUGUCCUUUUAUAUUAUGUUUUGUUUUCAGUGCAGGGGGAAUAGAGAAUAGAUCCUAAUUUAUAAACUCUGCUCACUUGUUUCUUUUUCCAGCCUUCUCUUCUCCAUGGCAGAUUCUCCAGGCCUUCUGUGGACCUUGGCUGGGCUUGCUCCAGGUGAUCUUUCUGUCUCUGGUAGCAUGGAGCCUACUGCUGGACACAGUACUCCAAAUGCAGCCUCACCCAUGCAGAGUAGCACGGAAAGAUGACCUCCUUCGAAUUGCUGGUGGGGCUUUUCCUAAUGCCGUCCAGGAUGCCUUUCUUGCUGCAAGGGAGCAUUGCUAGUUCAUGAUCAACUUAGUGUCAGUCAAAGGAAGCACAAAGGGAAAAUGACAAAUAGUAGCAUCUAUCAAGAAGCCAGGGCAGAGAUGGAAAACAAGCUGAUCUGCAGGACUGGCAGAUCAUGAAGAGGUAUUGCUUGCCGUUUGUUUGCCAUUCUUUUGGAAAUCAUGACUACAGCUUUCAGGCUAGGGAGUGGUUUGCUGCCCGAGUUCACUCAGGAAGCCAGUGCAAGAACAGCAGCUUUUCUCCUGGGUCUUACGUUGGCACUUGGCCAGCUGAACCCAGCUUCCUACACUCUGAGCUCAAGCAGGACAUAGAGACACGUUCAUUUGGCCAAGGGAUGGUGUCUCCUUGAAGAUAAGACCAUUGGCUCUCUAUUUAAAAAAAAAUAAUAAACAACAAACUUUUUCAAAUGCA